UACGGAGGGUGCGAGCGUUGUCCGGAAUCACUGGGCGUAAAGGGCGCGUAGGCGGCCUGAUAAGUAGGAGGUGAAAUCCUGCGGCUUAACCGCAGGGCUGCCUUCUAAACUGUCAGGCUAGAGCACGGUAGAGGCAGAUGGAAUUCCCGGUGUAGCGGUGGAAUGCGUAGAGAUCGGGAAGAACAUCAGUGGCGAAGGCGGUCUGCUGGGCCGUUGCUGACGCUGAGGCGCGACAGCGUGGGGAGCAAACAGG
This 253-nucleotide ribosomal RNA is filed under the name uncultured bacterium. RNAcentral describes it as "partial 16S ribosomal RNA". It matches the Rfam family "Bacterial small subunit ribosomal RNA", at positions 524 to 776 of the family's 1533-position model. The record is from RNAcentral.